RNAcentral lists this ribosomal RNA (194 nucleotides) under Solanum tuberosum (potato). RNAcentral's name for it is "rRNA LSU_rRNA_eukarya". It matches the Rfam family "Eukaryotic large subunit ribosomal RNA", at positions 2425 to 2620 of the family's 3401-position model. Lineage: Eukaryota; Viridiplantae; Streptophyta; Magnoliopsida; Solanales; Solanaceae. The record is from Rfam by way of RNAcentral.
ACUCUAGUUCGACUUUGUGAAAUGACUUGAGAGGUAUAGUAUAAGUGGGACUCGAAAGGCGAAAGUCAAAUACCACUACUUUUAACAAUAUUUUACUCAUUUCGUGAAUCGGAAGCGGGGCACUGCCCCUAUUUUUAGACCCAAGGCUUGCUUCGCGGGCUGAUCCAAGCGAAAGACAUUGUCAGGUGGGGAGU